This 253-nucleotide ribosomal RNA is filed under the name uncultured bacterium. RNAcentral's name for it is "partial 16S ribosomal RNA". It matches the Rfam family "Bacterial small subunit ribosomal RNA", at positions 524 to 776 of the family's 1533-position model. The record is from RNAcentral.
GACAGAGGUGGCGAGCGUUACCCGGAUUCAAUUGGCGUAAAGGGUGCGUAGGCGGCCGCGCGUGGCGUUGGUGAAAUCUCCCUGCUCAAGGGGGAGGGGUCCAACGAAACUGCGCGGCUGGAGGGCCGGAGAGGGAGGCGGAACAUCCGGAGUAGCGGUGAAAUGCGUAGAUACCGGAAGGUACCUCAAUAGCGAAGGCACCCGCCUGGCCGGUUCCUGACGCUGAGGCACGAAAGCUUGGGGAGCAAACCGG